UACAGAGGUCUCAAGCGUUGUUCGGAUUCAUUGGGCGUAAAGGGUGUGUAGGUGGCGCGCUAAGUCGGGUGUGAAAUUUCGGAGCUUAACUCCGAAACUGCAUUCGAUACUGGCGUGCUUGAGGACUGGAGAGGAGACUGGAAUUCAUGGUGUAGCAGUGAAAUGCGUAGAGAUCAUGGAGGAAGACCAGUGGCGAAGGCGGGUCUCUGGACAGUUCCUGACACUGAGACACGAAGGCCAGGGGAGCAAACGGG
RNAcentral lists this ribosomal RNA (254 nucleotides) under uncultured bacterium. Its description in RNAcentral is "partial 16S ribosomal RNA". It matches the Rfam family "Bacterial small subunit ribosomal RNA", at positions 524 to 776 of the family's 1533-position model. The record is from RNAcentral.